GGAGACAGUGCAUCAACAAUGUUUGCUCAUGUAUAUCAGUAUCAUCAGCACCGCCUGCAAACAAGGACGGUCUAAGGUUUCUGUUUGGAAGAAGUCUGAGACAGUCUCAACAUCUGAGGACAAACUCUCUGCUGCAUGUAACCAGCAUGACAUUGAAAGGUUAAGAGUCGGAGCUCUGGAGCAGCAUGCAGGAUAAAGGACGACUUCCACCGUCUCAGUAUCAUGAGGCUUUACUCCUCUCUCUCCAGGAACCAAAUCUAAAGACGAACACUUCACCUUUCAGAUCGAACCAGACCUGCACCGCAUGAGGAACAUCUUCAACUAACACUGACUGUUUACAGAUGAUGACAUGUUGUGUUUGCAGAAUAUCUCCAGAUUAAAGUUCCUCGUUUCUCAGAGGUUA
Molecule: long non-coding RNA, 403 nt
Organism: Notolabrus celidotus (New Zealand spotty)
Lineage: Eukaryota; Metazoa; Chordata; Actinopteri; Labriformes; Labridae
Exons: 2
Source: RefSeq, a predicted model, not a curated record